CCUACGGGAGGCAGCAGUAGGGAAUCUUCCACAAUGGGCGAAAGCCUGAUGGAGCAACGCCGCGUGGGUGAAGAAGGUCUUCGGAUCGUAAAACCCUGUUGUUAGAGAAGAAAGCGCGUGAGAGUAACGGUUUACGUUUCGACGGUAUCUAACCACAAAGCCACGGCUAACCACGUGCCAGCAGCCGCGGUAAUACGUAGGUGGCAAGCGUUAUCCGGAUUUAUUGGGCGUAAAGGGAACGCAGGCGGUCUUUUAUGUCUGAUGUGAAAGCCUUCGGCUUAACCGGGGUAGUGCAUUGGCAACUGGGAGACUUGAGUGCAGAAGGGGAGAGUGGAACUCCAGGUGUAGCGGUGAAAUGCGUAGAUAUAGGGAAGAACACCAGUGGCGAAAGCGGCUCUCUGGUCUGUAACUGACGCUGAGGUUCGAAAGCGUGGGGAGCGAACAGGAUUAGAUACCCGUGUAGUC
RNAcentral lists this ribosomal RNA (465 nucleotides) under uncultured bacterium. Its description in RNAcentral is "partial 16S ribosomal RNA". It matches the Rfam family "Bacterial small subunit ribosomal RNA", at positions 338 to 795 of the family's 1533-position model. The record is from RNAcentral.